This 3675-nucleotide long non-coding RNA is filed under the name Nicotiana benthamiana. RNAcentral describes it as "long non-coding RNA (NBEN_LNC024103)". The record is from RNAcentral. Lineage: Eukaryota; Viridiplantae; Streptophyta; Magnoliopsida; Solanales; Solanaceae.
CAUUUUUGGAUCAGGAUUUUCUUCUCCCUUCGUCACUUUCUCUUCAACAAAACCAGUUGUGAGAGCCUUUCAAAAAAAUCCGAAUUCUGUCACUUUUCCUUCCCCCAUCUUUGUAGCCCUCUUUCCAUCAAAUUAAAAGAAAACACAUAUAAGAGAAAUGGCGAGAUUCAAAAGGCAAAAUGAGCGAAAAACGGAAAAAUAAAGUGUUUGAAGGCUAUUCAAAUUUUCACUCUUUUGCUUCAAUUUUUUUGCUGGAACUUCGUCUGAUUUUCUGUCAAUUAGAGUGGUUUUCGGUCGUUGUUCAACUAUUUCGAUUGUCAUAUCGAUUCUGUGAUUGAUUCACUAAUACAAAGGUUCCUCUCUUUUCGUAGUUUGUUUUCUCAUUAUUGUUCUGGGUCACUAUGUGUUCGUUUGGUUUUUUGGUAUAAUAUGAUCGAGUUUUCAUCUGAGUGCGUUGAGAUUGAUUUGUUCUCCUGUUGAAUAUGUUUCAAGAUUAGUCUACCGUUCCCUUUUGCAUCUAUAUGCUCGAUUUGAACUCUUAAUUGUUAUUAAUUACAUCGAAUGAAUUAUCUAAGGGAAUGAUUUCACGUGGAUUGUUCUGUUUUCCCGGCAAGCCGAUGGUAAUGGUAGAUACGGUGAGUGUUUAAUUCCAUUAGUCCGUUAGAUAUAAUACCAUUGUAUCAGUGUUGAUUUUCUCAGCUAAUUUGGGUUAUUGUCAAUCUGCAUCUUCGUGUUGGUUUGAUAAAGAGUAAUUUUAUUAUCUUUGAUUGUUGGAUUGUUAUUGCUCAAUAAAUGAAUAAGUCUGGGUGAUUGUUUGCUUCAAAUAGCCAAGUCACAGUAUGAACAAAAGUUGGUUUACUCAAAGGCCGUCUCUAAUGUCGGUGAUUUAGUUAGGAAUUGUUGGAAAUUGUUCAAUGUUCUUGGAAAUGAUUUUAUUAAUUGUCACUGGGAACAUGAAAUACAGUGCUUUGUAUUGGAUUUUUGAAGAAUUCAGUUACGCUUUGCUUUAGAGUUGGGAUUAGCAUGACAGAUUUGCUAACUUUUACCAAUGGUUUUGGAUUGAAGAAGUCUAAUUUUCAUGCUUCAUUGAUGUAGUAAAUUGUGAGCAUCUCAAAAUGGAGGAUACAUGAAUACCAGUAAGUGAUACCAAAUCACUACUGUGAUGAAUGCAUUUUUGUGAUAUUUGUUUUUUCUUUCUAAUAUUAAAAUAUGUGAAGGAGCUUGUGACCAUGUUUGCAAAGUUUAUUUUUAGAAUCUGCAAAAUUGGGAUGCUAGUGCUUUACUCUCGUGCUAGACUUUGUAUUGGCCAUUUUGGAGAUUAAUAAUGAUUAAGUCGAGCAUUAGUUCUAGUUCAGAUUAGAUUAUGAGAACAAAAUCAGACUUAGAAAGAAAUAAACGCGAACACUUUUAGUUUGAUUUAGUAGAGUGCAAUCUUCUGAAAUAAAUUGAGGCGAGCCAUGCCAAAUAAAACAAAGUCAUGGCCCUCACUUAAUUGAAUUUAAUGCUUAGAAUUUGGGACGUGCCGUUUAGCAAAUUUCACGGCCUCCCGCAAAGUUAACAAUACGCUAGUCGCUCUAGGCCCGUCAUUUAAUAAAUUACCUCUUUAAACUCGGGUGCGCAUUGAUGCGAUCCAAAUCUGAAUCUCGACAAAGUGAAAAUUCGUUGAUAACCACGGGUGCCUUGAUGGUGACGGGGUUAGAAACGUGUUUUCAUGACUUCGUAAUUCUUAUAAAAUAAAUAACGAUCGAAAAAUGGUUCAAAAAUGGAGAUGAGCCUCACCGAACAAGAAUAAAUGUAGGACCCUCAAUAAUUGGUUAUUAAAAAUGAUUACAAUUUGGAAGGGUUGUUCAGCGAAUUUCAACGGCCUUUCCCAAAAAAAUAUUACGUUAGAUCCAUUAAGCGCGAUUUAAUUAAAUUAUUUUCUUAAACUCGGGUGCACAUUGAUGCGACCCAAAUCCAAAUCUCGAUGAAGUCUAAAUUUGUUGACAACCACGGGUGCAUUGAUUGCGACGUGGUUCGUAAUGCGUUUUCACAACAUCGCAAUUCUUUUAAAAUAAACAAAGAUAAAAAGCGAUUUACAAGUAAAAGGCACAUAAGCUAUAAUGUAUUAAAAUUAAAUAAAAUCAAAUGCAACAAUUAAGAGACCGUGCUAGAACCACGGAACCCGGGAAUGCCUAACACCUUCACCCGGGUUAACAGAAUUCCUUACUCGAAUUUCUGGUUCGCAGACUGUAACAGAGUCAUAUCUUUCCUUGGUUCGGGAUUCAACCGGUGAAUUGGAACACCAUUAAUCUCCCAGGUGGCGACUCUGAAUAAUUAAUAACUCAAUCCCGUUCCGAUUGUCCUUCAAUUGGAAAAACUCCUUUAAGCUCAUUUGCGGGGGUGUUAGUGAAAAAGGAGGUGUGACAAUUGCUUCAUAUUUUUGUGAGUUGUGCGUAAUAAAUUUCAAUCGUUCUCUUUGUUGUUUGUUUUGUUUAAAUCAUUUGAGUUCCUUGACUCUGUUCUUUUCCUUCUCUGUUGUUUGUUUUUCUCUUUCUUUUGUUGGGCCUAAACAAACCUUAUUCGCUUGAGCCUCAUGGCUCGUUGGUUAUUGGUUUGAAGUCUGUAAGUUUGGGCCAGAUUAUGCAUGCCCAGGGGUUUUGGUUUUGGGGUUUUGGGUCAAAUUGACCCAGUUAAUUUUUGAAGGUAAAUUCAGAGGUAAUUCAGGAAAUUCGGUUUAAGGAAUCUUUCGUAUAACUGAUUUUUAGAAGCCUUGAAAGGUUCAAGGGUAAAUAACAUGGCUAUUAAGGGUAAAUUAGGUAGUGUAAGUGUUUUAGUAACGGAAUAGAAGUAUCCAGAAUUUUCUCUUGUGAGGGUUUGAAUGGGGUUUUCAGAUUUUUGGGGUAGUAAAACUUGGUCCACAAUUUAAAAACAAAAGGACCAAACUGCAAACAAUAAGCAUAAAGGUUGCCCUACUUGCCUUGGUUAUAAAGGAACCUAUUCUUGCCUUCCAAGGCAAGAAAAAAGAGGCCGGAUCGCUAGAAUUAAACAUAUAUACAACCAGUGAAAUUUCACUGUUACAUUGAUUUAUCACGGAUUUUCUGAAAAGCUUCCCAUUCUGAUAAAUCCUUUAGUUUUUCUGCACCACUUGAUUUGAGUUGGUUAUAUAUUGAUUUGAUGUCAUUUUCUGGGCUCAUCUUACCUCGUUUUCUUGAGUUCAAAAUCAUCUUGUUAUUUAUUUUUGACUGUUUGGGAUUUGAGAUUGCUUGGAUUGGUUGUGUUGCUGAUAUUCUGCCGUGCAUCUGCUGAUUAAUCACCCUCACUUUCUUUCCAUUUUCCAGGUAUAUUUUGGCCCUUAUGGAUGUCCUACAAGUGUAACAUGAAGUCGUGAUUCUGGAAUACAAACGAUUAAUAGCUUUGAAUUUCCUUCCAUUUGUAUAAUUUCUAGUUGUUAAAUUUUAUUUAGGUUGUAGUCGUGCACCCCAUUUACAUGAUGCUUAACUAGGAUUUUCAUUGUUUUAGCUUAUUCCUGUAGUCAACUAUUGUAAUUUAAUAAGUAGACUUUCAAUCUCACAUUUAGAUAUGGUGUAAAUUUUAAAGCAUUUAGUGAGUAGCGGGGUAGCCUUUAAUUAACUUUUAUAUGAUGCAUCCUAGGCAGAAAAGUUGUUUGUUUCGUCUAUUAAAGCACAAGUGUGG